CAGUCGCCGCGGUAAUACGGAGGGGGCUAGCGUUGUUCGGAAUUACUGGGCGUAAAGCGCACGUAGGCGGCUUUGUAAGUCAGAGGUGAAAGCCCGGGGCUCAACCCCGGAAUUGCCUUUGAGACUGCAUCGCUUGAAUCCAGGAGAGGUGAGUGGAAUUCCGAGUGUAGAGGUGAAAUUCGUAGAUAUUCGGAAGAACACCAGUGGCGAAGGCGGCUCACUGGACUGGUAUUGACGCUGAGGUGCGAAAGCGUGGGGAGCAAACAGGAUUAGAUACCCCCGUAGUCCCUGUCUCUUAUAA
RNAcentral lists this ribosomal RNA (301 nucleotides) under uncultured bacterium. RNAcentral describes it as "partial 16S ribosomal RNA". It matches the Rfam family "Bacterial small subunit ribosomal RNA", at positions 509 to 809 of the family's 1533-position model. The record is from RNAcentral.